GCCCGGCUGGCCUAAUGGUAAGGCAUCAGACUUCUACGAUUUAAUGUUGAAUUCGUCGUCGACAUCUGAGGAUUGUGGGUUCGAUCCCCACGUCGGGUG
Molecule: non-coding RNA, 99 nt
Organism: Diatrype stigma
Lineage: Eukaryota; Fungi; Ascomycota; Sordariomycetes; Xylariales; Diatrypaceae
Source: the annotation of a GenBank genome assembly